RNAcentral lists this long non-coding RNA (456 nucleotides) under Drosophila guanche. The record is from RNAcentral. Lineage: Eukaryota; Metazoa; Arthropoda; Insecta; Diptera; Drosophilidae.
GGUACCAUCGGUCUCGUUUCCAGGUCGCCAUCUUCCACCCUGCGUGACCAAUAUUGGCUCAGUCUCUCCGGCUUCCUCGGAGGCGCUUGUGGAAUAUGCUCCUGUUGUUCCACGGAACCUUUGGGUCGGGUGCCGGUACUCUGUCUUCGCCAUUCUGGAGCCUUCGCACCGCCUUCUCUGCCAUUCGGACCAUCCUCCCAGCCCAGAUCCUGGAUCAGCUCUCCCUUCUGGCGCAGGGGGGUCAUUGCCUCCGUUAUGGCACCCAUCAGCUCCAUAAAUCCUCGACGGAUCUCCUCUUGCAGCGUCCUGCUGAUGGUGUCCGCCAUAGCUCCUCUCUGCGUCUCCUGCGCUUGUGCUAUGGCGACGUUUAUGCCCGAAAGAAUUUCCGACGGCAAUUCUUUUGGGUACUUCGGCUGGUUCCAACUGUCGUUCUCUCCUCCUUCUGCGCCCUGUUCC